Molecule: transfer RNA, 70 nt
Filed under: Grasseichthys gabonensis
Lineage: Eukaryota; Metazoa; Chordata; Actinopteri; Gonorynchiformes; Kneriidae
Description: tRNA-His
Rfam family: tRNA
About the family: Transfer RNA (tRNA) molecules are approximately 80 nucleotides in length. Their secondary structure includes four short double-helical elements and three loops (D, anti-codon, and T loops). Further hydrogen bonds mediate the characteristic L-shaped molecular structure. tRNAs have two regions of fundamental functional importance: the anti-codon, which is responsible for specific mRNA codon recognition, and the 3' end, to which the tRNAs corresponding amino acid is attached (by aminoacyl-tRNA synthetases). tRNAs cope with the degeneracy of the genetic code in two manners: having more than one tRNA (with a specific anti-codon) for a particular amino acid; and 'wobble' base-pairing, i.e. permitting non-standard base-pairing at the 3rd anti-codon position.
Source: RNAcentral
GUAAAUAUAGUUUUAAUUAAAACGCUAGAUUGUGAUUCUAAAAAUAGAGGUUAAAAUCCCCUUAUUCACC